RNAcentral lists this transfer RNA (77 nucleotides) under Bifidobacterium longum subsp. longum. Its description in RNAcentral is "tRNA-Pro". It matches the Rfam family "tRNA". From Rfam's summary of the family: Transfer RNA (tRNA) molecules are approximately 80 nucleotides in length. Lineage: Bacteria; Bacillati; Actinomycetota; Actinomycetes; Bifidobacteriales; Bifidobacteriaceae. The record is from RNAcentral. RNAcentral also lists the same sequence under 8 other names.
CGGGCUAUAGCGCAGUUUGGUAGCGCGCCUGCUUUGGGAGCAGGAUGUCGCCGGUUCAAAUCCGGCUAGCCCGACCG